UACCUCCCGCGAAUCUGUAACUUUCACUAUGAUAGAAACCAACUCAUCUCUGGAUAGAAAUGUGAGGUACUUCGUAUGAGAUUGACAUGGACGAGUGUGAAAUUGGAUCUAAGCUCAAUGGCAGCAACGACGUUCGGUUAAAUCCUAUGAGAUGAUACACUACGCAGUAAAUGGUAACUUGACACAUCCUUUAUUUGUCGUUUAAAUAAAGUUUGUUCAAAUAUUAAGUACAAAAAAACAAUCAGUGAUGCCACGGUAAACGUUCCAAACAAGAAUAGUUGUUGAGAACUUGGAGAUUUCAUGCGGUAAGAGUAACGAGAGGUUAGGAGCGUAGUACAAUCGACAAUCGACUACAGAAAAAUGGAAAUUUCUCCUAAAAUUCAAAAAUUGGAUCAGACGGUAGUAAACAGGAUUGCAGCUGGUGAGGUUAUCCAACGGCCAGCCAACGCAUUGAAAGAAUUGAUCGAAAAUAGCCUCGAUGCACGAGCUAAUAACAUUCAAAUCCUUGUCAAAGAGGGUGGACUAAAAUUGCUGCAAAUUCAAGACAAUGGAACCGGAAUUAGAAAGGAGGACAUGGAGAUCGUUUGUGAAAGGUUUACAACCAGCAAAUUACAAAAGUUUGAAGAUCUGAGAUCGAUAUCUACGUUCGGAUUUCGAGGAGAAGCUUUGGCAAGCAUAAGCCAUGUUGCAUUGUUGACAAUUAUGACAAAAACUGCUGAUGAAAAAUGUGCAUAUAAAGGAUCGUACAUUGACAGUAAAUUAAAUGGGCAGCUGAAACCUUGUGCUGGAAAUCAAGGUACAACGAUAACAAUUGAAAAUUUAUUUUACAAUGUUUCUACACGGCGAAAGGCACUGUCAAAUAUAUCCGAAGAAUUGAAUAAAAUCGUAGAAGUUGUUACCAAAUAUGCAAUCCAUAAUCCUGCAGUAGCAUUUAUGUUAAAAAAACAAGGAGAUUUAACUCCACAGAUACGAACAAUGUACAACUCGACAAAAGUAAAUAAUAUUCGAAAUCUCUAUGGAAAUUCUAUUGCUCGAGAGCUCCUUGAGAUAGAACAUGCACAUGAAAAAUAUAAAUUUAAAAUGCAAGCUCUUGUGACGAACCCCAAUUAUUCGAGCAAGAGGUUAAUAUUUCUCUUAUUUAUCAAUCACAGGCUUGUUGAGUCGACAUCUAUCCGAAAAAUGCUGGAAGAUUUAUACUCGAUAUAUAUCCCAAAGAGGACACAUCCGUGGUGUUAUUUGUCUCUAGAAAUUAAUCCAAAUAAUAUCGAUGUCAAUGUACACCCAACAAAGCAUGAGGUUAAAUUCCUUCAUGAAGAUGCAAUAAUUGAACAAAUAAAACUUGCUUUAGAUGAGAAACUAGCUAAUAACAGUGCUGCAAGAACCUUUUAUAUGCAAGCAAGAUUACCAGAUGUGAAUAUACCAAAGGAGGUCUUAGAAGAGAUUUUACCAGAAUACCAAAAAGAGAAUUCAGGAAAAUCAAAGAAAACUCAUGCCCGGGAAAUGAUUAGAACCAAUUCUAAUGAUCAGAAACUUGAUAAAUUUAAUUUUACGGUACAUUCUGCGAUGAAACAUAGCAGAAUUAAUUCCAGUAACUCAGAAAUUAAUAUUAAUGACAAUAGAUCAGGGUUGAUUAAUGUCGUUUUUUCCACUGUAGAACAUGCAAUAAAUUCUAAUAAACAAUUUGAAAAGGGGAACGAAUUUCAACUUGAGAGAAAUGCUGGAAAUAAAAAUGAUAAGAAGACUGUAUCUAAAACUGAAAAUAAUGCUGAAAAGGAGAUUGAAUCAACUGAUGACGUUGAGGAUAGUUUUAGUGGAAUUUUAGAUGAACCAAUGCAAUCUAUCCAAGUUCUAAAAUCUAUUAAUGAUACUUCUGUAAAUUACCCAUGUACAUCGAUACAAUCCGAUACGGCACAAGUUAUCCCUUCAGUCCCAAAUAAUAUUGAUUUGUGUGAAUCUAUGGAUGUGUACAUGCAAGAUAAGCAGAAUAAGAUGGAACUUGACACAGGUAACGACAGCACAAAUAAUGUUGCAAAUAAAGCAUUGAAAAGAGUUUAUCAAUACUUUAACAAUGGAAAUGUUAUAGAUCAUAAAAAGAAAAUCAGUGAAAAAAAUCAGAAAAUGUAUACUAAUGAAAGGAUUACAGUGGAUAAUAUUUUAAUAACAUCAAAUAAAAUUCAGAAUGAAAGAGUAAACGAUGUUGAGAUUUCAAAUGUUAUUCAAGAACAACUUUGUAAGGGAAACAUGGUGCAAGAACCAACGACUUCACCAGAACAAUCAGAUACUCUAAACAAAAAAGAAAACGAGGCACAGAACUCAGGAUUUAAAUCAUAUUCAGUGAAUCAUUUCAGACAUGAAGUAAAACUGAUUAGUGUCUUGAAUUUACGCAAGAUGGUAGAAGAUACUUAUCACCAAGGCCUUAGAGAAAUUUUAUCAAAUAUGACCUUUGUUGGUUGCGUUGAUGAAACUUCAGCUCUAAUUCAAAGUGGCGUUAAUCUGUAUAUUUGCAAUACUCAAAAAUUAGCUGAGGAGCUCUUUUACGAGAUAAUGCUGUAUGACUUUGCAAACUAUGGAGUAAUAAAAUUUACGACUUGGAAGAAGCAGGAUGGACAGAAGAAGAUGGAAAAAAGGAAGACUUGGCAGAAAGUGUGAAAGAAUUAUUACUGGAGAAGACGGAUAUGAUGAAGGAGUAUUUUUCUGUUGUCAUUGACAAGGGAGGAAACUUAAGAUCUUUACCAAUACUGUUAGAUAAAUAUUUUCCAAGCGAAGCAGAAAUUCCACUAUAUAUUUUGAGAUUAGCUACAGAAGUAAACUGGAAAAAGGAACAACCUUGUUUCAAUGAUAUUUGCAGGGAAACUGCCAGAUUUUAUAGCCGUAUCGAUAGAAAC
This 2885-nucleotide unclassified non-coding RNA is filed under the name Orussus abietinus. Its description in RNAcentral is "dNA mismatch repair protein Mlh1, transcript variant X4". Lineage: Eukaryota; Metazoa; Arthropoda; Insecta; Hymenoptera; Orussidae. The record is from RNAcentral.